GUCUUGUAAUUGGAAUGAUGGUGACCUAAACCCUCACCAGAGUAACAAUUGGAGGGCAAGUCUGGUGCCAGCAGCCGCGGUAAUUCCAGCUCCAAUAGCGUAUAUUAAACUUGUUGCAGUUAAAAAGCUCGUAGUUGAAUUUCUGCGUUAUCGAGUUAUUGACUCUUGUCUUUAAUCGAUUUCGCUUUUGGGAUUUAUCCCUUUUUACUUUGAGAAAAUUAGAGUGUUUCAAGCAGACUUUUGUCUUGAAUACUUCAGCAUGGAAUAAUAGAGUAGGACUUUGGUUCUAUUUUGUUGGUUUUUGAACCUUAGUAAUGGUUAAUAGGAACGGUUGGGGGCAUUCGUAUUUAACUGUCAGAGGUGAAAUUCUUAGAUUUGUUAAAGACGAACUACUGCGAAAGCAUUUGCCAAGGUACGUUUCCAUUAAUCAAG
RNAcentral lists this ribosomal RNA (432 nucleotides) under Babesia venatorum (nom. ined.). RNAcentral describes it as "SSU rRNA". It matches the Rfam family "Eukaryotic small subunit ribosomal RNA", at positions 500 to 981 of the family's 1831-position model. The record is from RNAcentral. Lineage: Eukaryota; Apicomplexa; Aconoidasida; Piroplasmida; Babesiidae.